Molecule: ribosomal RNA, 465 nt
Filed under: uncultured bacterium
Lineage: Bacteria
Description: partial 16S ribosomal RNA
Rfam family: Bacterial small subunit ribosomal RNA
Source: RNAcentral
GACGAACGCUGGCGGCGUGCUUAACACAUGCAAGUCGAACGGAAAGGCCCCUUUGGGGGUACUCGAGUGGCGAACGGGUGCGUAACACGUGAGUAACCUGCCCUUGACUUCGGGAUAACUUCAGGAAACUGGGGCUAAUACCGGAUAGGAAUCCUUGCUGCAUGGUGGGGGUUGGAAAGCUUCGGCGGUUUUGGAUGGACUCGCGGCUUAUCAGCUUGUUGGUGGGGUAGUGGCUUACCAAGGCUUUGACGGGUAGCCGGCCUGAGAGGGCGACCGGCCACAUUGGGACUGAGAUACGGCCCAGACUCCUACGGGAGGCAGCAGUGGGGAAUAUUGCACAAUGGGCGGAAGCCUGAUGCAGCAACGCCGCGUGCGGGAUGACGGCCUUCGGGUUGUAAACCGCUUUCAGCAGGGGCGAAGCUUGUGGUGACGGUACCUGCAGAAGAAGCACCGUCUAACUACGUG